This 320-nucleotide ribosomal RNA is filed under the name uncultured eukaryote. Its description in RNAcentral is "partial 18S ribosomal RNA". It matches the Rfam family "Eukaryotic small subunit ribosomal RNA", at positions 1470 to 1796 of the family's 1831-position model. The record is from RNAcentral.
CCCCUAGAUGUUCUGGGCCGCACGCGCGCUACACUGAACAGUUCAACAAGUCUUAACCUUGGCCGAUAGGUCUGGGUAAUCUUUGAACGCUGUUCGUGAUUGGGAUAGACCUUUGCAAUUAUGGGUCUUCAACGAGGAAUUCCUAGUAAACGCAAGUCAUCAGCUUGCAUUGAUUACGUCCCUGCCCUUUGUACACACCGCCCGUCGCACCUACCGAUUGAAUGGUCCGGUGAAAUCUCGGGACGGCGGCUUGGUCGCUUGAGUCCGACUGCUGAAACUUGAUUAAACCAUAUCAUUUAGAGGAAGGUGAAGUCGUAACA